AAAAACUGAGAAAAUAUGCAAAUCAAACUGUCGUCAAAAACUCGACAUGACACUCAUUUGAUGUAAAUUGAACGUCAAACAUAUUGGCC
Sinocyclocheilus grahami is the source of this 89-nucleotide long non-coding RNA. RefSeq lists it as uncharacterized. NCBI's taxonomy places the organism in Eukaryota, Metazoa, Chordata, Actinopteri, Cypriniformes, Cyprinidae. The record is from RefSeq and is a predicted model, not a curated record. The transcript has 3 exons.